GGAGAAUUUACAAUGUUGUGCAGUUUUUACAUUUUUAACACUUCAAGCAAGAAAUAAAGCUACAAAGAUUGUUACAGGAGGGUGCAUAUGAGAUAUGGAUCUCAAAGCCUUGCAAGUUUCUAAUUGCUGGGUUUACACCAUAACACCCACGUGCCUGUCAAUCAGGUACCUCCUGCUACUUUUCAUUGGCUUGAAGAUACUAUGAGAGAUGGGGAUCUUCCAUACAGAAAUCCAGUUUCCAC
Long non-coding RNA from Bombina bombina (fire-bellied toad), 242 nucleotides. RefSeq lists it as uncharacterized. The transcript has 3 exons. The record is from RefSeq and is a predicted model, not a curated record. NCBI's taxonomy places the organism in Eukaryota, Metazoa, Chordata, Amphibia, Anura, Bombinatoridae.